RNAcentral lists this transfer-messenger RNA (355 nucleotides) under Dehalococcoidia bacterium. It matches the Rfam family "transfer-messenger RNA". From Rfam's summary of the family: Bacterial tmRNA, also known as 10Sa RNA or SsrA, is named for its dual tRNA and mRNA-like properties. Its role is to liberate the mRNA from a stalled ribosome. To accomplish this part of the tmRNA is used as a reading frame that ends in a translation stop signal. The record is from RNAcentral. Lineage: Bacteria; Bacillati; Chloroflexota; Dehalococcoidia.
GGGGACGCAAGGUUUCGACAGUAAAAGUUAGUUACUGGAUUGCAGGUUGAGGUUGUCGCAGCCCUCAUUAAAAAGGCGGCAAAAACAUAAAUGGCGAACCUGAAAUGGUUCUCGCUGGCUAAAAACAGCUAGCGCAUCCAACCUUACCCCACCCCGGCGGGUAGGGAUUGGGUGUCGAAAUGUCGGGGUGCCGUUAUCCGAAUGCCGAUACGGAUAGCGAAAGACUUAUCGGCUGGCUUGAUUGAACUGAGUUGGCAGAGGUCAAUCGGGCAAGAUUAAAAUGCCGACUAAACCUGUAGCAUAUUCAGGGCAGCUUUUAUUGGACGGGGAGUUCGAUUCUCCCCCGUCUCCACCA